UGGGGAAUAUUGCACAAUGGGGGAAACCCUGAUGCAGCAACGCCGCGUGAAGGAAGACGGUUUUCGGAUUGUAAACUUCUAUCAAUAGGGACGAAGAAAGUGACUGUACCUAAAUAAGAAGCCCCGGCUAACUACGUGCCAGCAGCCGCGGUAAUACGUAGGGGGCAAGCGUUAUCCGGAAUUACUGGGUGUAAAGGGUGAGUAGGCGGCAUGGCAAGUAAGAUGUGAAAGCCCGAGGCUUAACCUCGGGAUUGCAUUUUAAACUGCUAAGCUAGAGUACAGGAGAGGAAAGCGGAAUUCCUAGUGUAGCGGUGAAAUGCGUAGAUAUUAGGAAGAACACCAGUGGCGAAGGCGGCUUUCUGGACUGGAAACUGACGCUGAGGCACGAAAGCGUGGGGAG
This 400-nucleotide ribosomal RNA is filed under the name uncultured bacterium. Its description in RNAcentral is "bacterial SSU rRNA". It matches the Rfam family "Bacterial small subunit ribosomal RNA", at positions 355 to 768 of the family's 1533-position model. The record is from RNAcentral.